UACAGGCUGCAGCAAUGUUAGCUUGUGUUCAGCGGCGCAAGGGUGCGUAACACGUGGGUAAUUUGCCAUAAAGUCUGGAAUAACUUGCUGAAAGGCGAGCUAAUGCCGGAUGUGACUUCCGAAGGGCAUCUUUUGGAAUUCAAAGCUGGAACCGUAAGGUCUGGCGCUUUUUGAUAAGCCCGCGGUCUAUCAGCUAGUUGGUGAGGUAACGGCUCACCAAGGCUAAGACGGAUAGCUGGUCUGAGAGGACGACCAGCCACACUGGAACUGAGACACGGUCCAGACACCUACGGGUGGCAGCAGUCGAGAAUUUUUCACAAUGGGCGAAAGCCUGAUGGAGCGACGCCGCGUGGGGGAUGAAUGGCUUCGGCCCGUAAACCCCUGUCAUUUGCGAACAAACCUUACCGGUUAAUACCCGGUGAGCUGAUUGUAGCGGAAGAGGAAGGGACGGCUAACUCUGUGCCAGCAGCCGCGGUAAUACAGAGGUCCCGAGCGUUGUUCGGAUUCACUGGGCGUAAAGGGUGCGUAGGUGGUGAGGUAAGUCGGAUGUGAAAUCUCCGGGCUCAACCCGGAAAUGGCAUUGGAAACUACCUUGCUGGAGGAUUUGAGGGGGGAUUGGAAUACUUGGUGUAGCAGUGAAAUGCGUAGAUAUCAAGUGGAACACCAGUGGCAAAGGCGAAUCCCUGGAAAAUACCUGACACUGAGGCACGAAAGCUAGGGGAGCAAACAGGAUUAGAUACCCUGGUAGUCCUAGCCCUAAACGGUGCUUGCUUGCUGUAAGAGGAAUCGACCCCUCUUGUGGCGGAGCUAACGCGUUAAGCAAGCCGCCUGGGAAGUA
RNAcentral lists this ribosomal RNA (838 nucleotides) under uncultured Verrucomicrobiota bacterium. RNAcentral's name for it is "bacterial SSU rRNA". It matches the Rfam family "Bacterial small subunit ribosomal RNA", at positions 71 to 882 of the family's 1533-position model. The record is from RNAcentral. Lineage: Bacteria; Pseudomonadati; Verrucomicrobiota.